UCUAGACCGAUAACCCCCGUUAAACCUCACCUUCUCUUGUUUUAUCUGGCUAAAUACCACCGUCGUCAGCUUACCCUGUGAAGGCUUUACAGUAAGCAAAAUUGGCACAGCCCAA
This 115-nucleotide ribosomal RNA is filed under the name Hippoglossus stenolepis (Pacific halibut). RNAcentral describes it as "partial 12S ribosomal RNA". Lineage: Eukaryota; Metazoa; Chordata; Actinopteri; Pleuronectiformes; Pleuronectidae. The record is from RNAcentral.